UCCAGAUCAUGUUUUCAGGUUCAGAACACAAUUUCAUGCGUCUGAAAGUACAAUAUUCAAAAGUUCUCAUCGCUUGAUGUACAUUUUUACACGUGAUUCUUCAGCAUGUCCUUUCUGCCAUGAACAGGUGAAUAAAGUGCCUAUCUUCUUAAUUUCACACGUUUUGAAAUGAAGCAUUUCUUUACACCUGAUUUUUUUUUUCUCACCUUUUUGUUUUUGCUUUUACAACUGUAGAAAACGCGUGACAAAUGUGAAGGUUUUUUUUUCAAAGUAGGAAAAUGCUAUAGAUGAUUUUCUCUGCCCCAAAAGCCUUUAUAUUUAGAAAAACUAAUGUUUAUAUAGAAGUCCAUUCAUUGAUUCCUUCAAGUAAGCUUAUGAUCGGAAAAACAUCGACAGAGGAGCUCCUUCUCUAACGUUAACAAUCUGUAAGUGUGCAAUUUUAUUUCCAGAUUCUAGAUAUAUAUUUAUACAUUCCAUCAUGGUUUUACAACUAGUACAGUAUAGCGUUUAUGGAUGUGUAUUUAUCUUCCGAAAGUCCGCUAGCAUGUUGUGCUAUAAGCUUCCCAUACUAUUGUAUUUUAGUUAGCUAAGUUAGCUGUCUUUUAUACUGACUAACGUUAGGCAAGAGGGUGUUGUACCUAGUUUGUUUACUCAUGUCAUAGUGAAAACGUCGCCCUUUUCUGACAAGUCAUUUCAUGCCAACUGUCAGCCCAGGAACUUGUGAUAUAAAUCCAUGUCGUCAUCGUUAUGUUACUGAAACUAACGUUGCUAUCUAUUUCAUGCCUGCUAGUUAACAGUACAAUGUUAGCUAUUUUGUGUGCUAACCCAGCUUCCUAUUUAUUUUUCAAAGGCAGGAUGGAGACACUGGGAUGUAUGUCAGAGACCCAUACAGUAGUAACCCCGCCGUAGGCUUGCUUGACAUCUACCAAGAGGUCUGGACCUUUAUGGCUCAGAAAGAACAGGAUAGGUCUAAACAAAGAUACUGGUCAUAUAGCUUUUGUCAAGUGUGUUUAAACUACACUGAUCCAGGGCAAGCAGCCCUGGUCCCACUCCUCUCCCUCAAUCACUACAGUGGCAUUACUUGAACUUCUAUCGCUCCUGUAGCACCAGCAGGUUGGAGAUGUGGACACCACCAUUCCCAUUAUGUACCGCUUCUGUUUUUCAUUUCUUUCUACUUGGAACUGUGGUUCACACAUGUUAUGUUGUCUAAUUCCAGGUGCAUACAGGAAGAAUUUUAUUUUUGUAUACUCCCAUUUUAUUAUAGUGGUCUUUCCACAUGUCAUAAAUAGAGUAGAUGGUUAAAGGGCAUUCCUUUCGUUUGACAUGUGUGCUCAAAGUGUUUAAUCUCUGUCAUUGUGUUUUACAGCAAUCUUCUUCAACGUGGUGACGUGGAACAACCUGAAUUUUUAUUUCUGUUGGUAAGGUAUGGCUUGUGUGAGGUGGUGGGAUUUGUGUGAGUUUAUUUUUUGGUUGUUGAUGAUGAUGAUGAUGACCAGGAGGUGGAUGGCAAAGGGGAGAUCAGAAAAGGUCCUAACCACUAGGUGGUUCUGGAAUCCUGGGAAGGGGGUGCCCUUUAACCAUCUACUCUGUGUUGAUCAAGGUGUUUAUAUGUUGUUUGUUGGGGUGGUUGUGUAGUCUAGAAGGGGGUGCCCGGCCGUGUUGAUCAAGGUGUUUAUAUGUUGUUGUUUGUUGGGGUGGUUGUGUAGUCUAGAAGGGGGUGCCCGGCCGUGUUGAUCAAGGUGUUUAUAUGUUGUUGUUGGGGUGGUUGUGUAGUCUAGAAGGGGGUGCCUGGCCGUGUUGAUCAAGGUGUUUAUAUGUUGUUGUUUGUUGGGGUGGUUGUGUAGUCUAGAAGGGGGUGCCCGGCCGUGUUGAUCAAGGUGUUUAUAUGUUGUUGUUUGUUGGGGUGGUUGUGUAGUCUAGAAGGGGGUGCCCGGCUGUGUUGAUCAAGGUGUUUAUAUGUUGUUUGUUGGGGUGGUUGUGUAGUCUAGAAGGGGGUGCCUGGCCGUGUUGAUCAAGGUGUUUAUAUGUUGUUGUUUGUUGGGGUGGUUGUGUAGUCUAGAAGGGGGUGCCCGGCCGUGUUGAUCAAGGUGUUUAUAUGUUGUUUGUUGGGGUGGUUGUGUAGUCUAGAAGGGGGUGCCCGGCUGUGUUGAUCAAGGUGUUUAUAUGUUGUUUGUUGGGGUGGUUGUGUAGUCUAGAAGGGGGUGCCCGGCCGUGAUGUUCAAGGUUUGCCUGUUCACUCAUCCAGAAGGCGAGGUCAGUACAGAUGCAUCUAAGCUGGGACCGAGAGACUGAAAAACAGCUUCUAUCUCAAGGCCGUCAGACUGUUAAACAGCCAUCACUAACAUACAGUGGCUGCUGCCAACAUACUGACUCAACUCAAGCCACUUUAAUAAUGAAAAAUGUAUGUAAUAAAUGUAUCGCUAGCCACUUUAAACAAUGCCACUUUAUAUAAUGUUUACAUAUCCUACAUUACUCAUGUCAUAUGUAUAUACUGUACUCUAUAUCAUCUACUGCAUCUUGCCAUCUUGAUGUAAUAAAUGUAUCACUAGCCACUUUAAUCAAUGCCACUUUAUAUAAUGUUUACAUACCCUACAUUACUCAUCUCAUAUGUAUAUACUGUACUCUAUACCAUCUACUGCAUCUUGCCUAUGCCGUUCGGCCAUCGCUCAUUCAUAUAUUUUUAUGUACAUAUUCUUAUUCAUUCCUAUACACUUGUGUGUAUAAGGUAGUUAUUGUGAAAUUGUUAGAUAUUACUGCAUGGUCAGAACUAGAAGCACAAGCAUUUCCCUACACUCGCAUUAACAUCUGCUAACCAUGUGUAUGUGACAAAUAAAAUAAGAUUUGAGGUGUUAAAAUGUUUUUUGGGUUGUUUUUUUUUGGUGCGGUUGGUGAAUAUUUUACCCAUUGCCACUCAUUUUACCUGUAGGUAGGUAUUACUGUUCAAUUCAAAGUAAUUCAGAGUAAGUGAGUUCCAGUAAUCGUAGUAGAUGAUGGUCUGGUCUGCCUGGUUGUGGGGUAUUGUAGUAGUUGAUGGUCUGCCUGGUUGUGGGGUAUUGUAGUAGUUGAUGGUCUGUCUGGUUGUGGGGUAUUGUAGUAGUUGAUGGUCUGUCUGGUUGUGGGGUAUUGUAGUAGUUGAUGGUCUGUCUGGUUGUGGGGUAUUGUAGUAGUUGAUGGUCUGGUCUGGUUGUGGGGUAUUGUAGUAGUU
Molecule: long non-coding RNA, 3205 nt
Filed under: Salmo salar (Atlantic salmon)
Lineage: Eukaryota; Metazoa; Chordata; Actinopteri; Salmoniformes; Salmonidae
Description: lncRNA (ENSSSAG00000082959.1, ENSSSAG00000092730.1)
Source: RNAcentral